This 493-nucleotide ribosomal RNA is filed under the name uncultured bacterium. RNAcentral describes it as "partial 16S ribosomal RNA". It matches the Rfam family "Bacterial small subunit ribosomal RNA", at positions 28 to 507 of the family's 1533-position model. The record is from RNAcentral.
GACGAACGCUGGCGGCGUGCUUAACACAUGCAAGUCGAACGGUGAAGCGCCUUCCUUUUUGGUGGGUGUGGAUGAGUGGCGAACGGGUGAGUAACACGUGAGUAACCUGCCCCCUUCUUCUGGAUAACCGCAUGAAAGUGUGGCUAAUACGGGAUAUUCUGGGUCUGUCGCAUGAUGGGUCUGGGAAAGAUAUUGUUUCGUGGGGGAUGGGCUCGCGGCCUAUCAGCUUGUUGGUGGGGUGAUGGCCUACCAAGGCGGUGACGGGUAGCCGGCCUGAGAGGGUGGACGGUCACACUGGGACUGAGACACGGCCCAGACUCCUACGGGAGGCAGCAGUGGGGAAUAUUGCACAAUGGGCGCAAGCCUGAUGCAGCGACGCCGCGUGAGGGAUGGAGGCCUUCGGGUUGUGAACCUCUUUCGCCAGUGAAGCAGGCCUGCCUCGUUUGUGGGUGGGUUGACGGUAGCUGGAUAAGAAGCGCCGGCUAACUACGUG